Oryctolagus cuniculus (rabbit) is the source of this 435-nucleotide long non-coding RNA. RefSeq lists it as uncharacterized. Lineage: Eukaryota; Metazoa; Chordata; Mammalia; Lagomorpha; Leporidae. The record is from RefSeq and is a predicted model, not a curated record.
CUGACACGGAGCAGGGGGGCCAGCCGGCAAUCGUGCAGUGCUGGCCCCAAACUGGGAGCCCCACGUACCACAGGGCCCGCGGAGAAGGGGCCGUCACAGGACCACGGCUGCAAAGGCAGAUGGCCACAUCAGCCGGAGCUGCACGGAUCCGAAGCCAGGAGCCAGGAGCUUCUUCCAGGUCUCCUACGCAGAUGCAGAGGCCCAAGGACUUGGGCCAUCUUCUACUGCUUUCCCAGGCCAUAGCAGAGAGCUGGAUCAGAAGAGGAGCAGCCGGAUCUCAACCAGCGCCCACAUGGGAUGCCAGCACUGCAGGCGGUGGCUUUACCCGCUACACCACAGUGCUGACCCCUGAAGUGGGUUCUCAAUUUCUGCCUCCCUCACUUCUGUGGGUCCCCGAGGGGCCCAGCCCACUCCUGGAAGAAACCUGCCAACUAA